The sequence is a small nuclear RNA, 131 nucleotides long. Its record names the gene U2. It matches the Rfam family "U2 spliceosomal RNA". Rfam says of the family: U2 is a small nuclear RNA (snRNA) component of the spliceosome (involved in pre-mRNA splicing). Complementary binding between U2 snRNA (in an area lying towards the 5' end but 3' to hairpin I) and the branchpoint sequence (BPS) of the intron results the bulging out of an unpaired adenosine, on the BPS, which initiates a nucleophilic attack at the intronic 5' splice site, thus starting the first of two transesterification reactions that mediate splicing. The record is from Ensembl.
AUCGCUUCUCGGCCUUUUGGCUAAGAUCAAGUGUAGAAAUCUGAGUUCUGUAAAUGAAGUUUCCCAUUAUCUGUAUUACAUUUCAACCAAGUUGAAAUUAUUUUGUGUUCCCUGUUUUCAUCUUACUCAUA